GUGAAUCAUCAAAUUUUUUCCCUCCCCUUUCCCUCUCCUCUUCUCUUAUGCCUGUUUGAGGGUCAGCCUAUAAAAAAUCGACAUCGUUGCUGUUUCGCUUUUGCGUUCUUCUUAAAUUGGGUCAUCUUAAAUCCUUUUGAUUUAAGCGACUUAAAAUUUUCUUUUGGUUCCAUGAACGUUUCUAAGAUCUAUUUCUUUACACGUUUAAGGUCUCUAUUUUUACUAGACGUGACCAUCAUAUCUUCUCUCGUCCAUCAUCUUUCCUUCCCUGACCUCAGACAGGUAAGAACACCCUGUGAA
RNAcentral lists this unclassified non-coding RNA (300 nucleotides) under Glomus sp. RNAcentral's name for it is "partial internal transcribed spacer 2". Lineage: Eukaryota; Fungi; Glomeromycota; Glomeromycetes; Glomerales; Glomeraceae. The record is from RNAcentral.